GGGAGCUUGCUCCCUGAUGUUAGCGGCGGACGGGUGAGUAACACGUGGGUAACCUGCCUGUAAGACUGGGAUAACUCCGGGAAACCGGGGCUAAUACCGGAUGGUUGUUUGAACCGCAUGGUUCAAACAUAAAAGGUGGCUUCGGCUACCACUUACAGAUGGACCCGCGGCGCAUUAGCUAGUUGGUGAGGUAACGGCUCACCAAGGCAACGAUGCGUAGCCGACCUGAGAGGGUGAUCGGCCACACUGGGACUGAGACACGGCCCAGACUCCUACGGGAGGCAGCAGUAGGGAAUCUUCCGCAAUGGACGAAAGUCUGACGGAGCAACGCCGCGUGAGUGAUGAAGGUUUUCGGAUCGUAAAGCUCUGUUGUUAGGGAAGAACAAGUACCGUUCGAAUAGGGCGGUACCUUGACGGUACCUAACCAGAAAGCCACGGCUAACUACGUGCCAGCAGCCGCGGUAAUACGUAGGUGGCAAGCGUUGUCCGGAAUUAUUGGGCGUAAAGGGCUCGCAGGCGGUUUCUUAAGUCUGAUGUGAAAGCCCCCGGCUCAACCGGGGAGGGUCAUUGGAAACUGGGGAACUUGAGUGCAGAAGAGGAGAGUGGAAUUCCACGUGUAGCGGUGAAAUGCGUAGAGAUGUGGAGGAACACCAGUGGCGAAGGCGACUCUCUGGUCUGUAACUGACGCUGAGGAGCGAAAGCGUGGGGAGCGAACAGGAUUAGAUACCCUGGUAGUCCACGCCGUAAACGAUGAGUGCUAAGUGUUAGGGGGUUUCCGCCCCUUAGUGCUGCAGCUAACGCAUUAAGCACUCCGCCUGGGGAGUACGGUCGCAAGACUGAAACUCAAAAGGAAUUGACGGGGGCCCGCACAAGCGGGUGGAGCAUGUGGUUUAAUUCGAAGCAACGCGAAGAACCUUACCAGGUCUUGACAUCCUCUGACAAUCCUAGAGAUAGGACGUCCCCUUCCGG
This 969-nucleotide ribosomal RNA is filed under the name Bacillus subtilis. Its description in RNAcentral is "bacterial SSU rRNA". It matches the Rfam family "Bacterial small subunit ribosomal RNA", at positions 74 to 1024 of the family's 1533-position model. The record is from RNAcentral. Lineage: Bacteria; Bacillati; Bacillota; Bacilli; Caryophanales; Bacillaceae.